This is a long non-coding RNA of Ficedula albicollis (Collared flycatcher), 289 nucleotides long. RefSeq lists it as uncharacterized. The record is from RefSeq and is a predicted model, not a curated record. The transcript is spliced from 4 exons. NCBI's taxonomy places the organism in Eukaryota, Metazoa, Chordata, Aves, Passeriformes, Muscicapidae.
GCUUGAAGGUGCCCUCAUCAGACUCCAUAACGAUAUCAAAGUUGGAGAUAUUUUCCUGAAAAUGUGAGAAAAGAAGCACUCACAGAGAUGACCAUUCAGUAUUGAAGUUCCCUGGGAUGACAGACAAGAAAAAGCAGACAGCUCUGAACAUGGCAGCAGGCUAAGUAAGGAAGCUGAUGAGUAUUUCUGCAACUUUCAACAAAAGCUGCAGGGAGUUUUGAUAGAAGGAAGCCAACUUUCUUACAAUUGAACAUCCCAAUGGACCAAGGACCUAUGGAUGGGUCAAUCU